This 385-nucleotide ribosomal RNA is filed under the name Molobratia teutonus. RNAcentral describes it as "partial large subunit ribosomal RNA". The record is from RNAcentral. Lineage: Eukaryota; Metazoa; Arthropoda; Insecta; Diptera; Asilidae.
ACUGUGCAAAGGUAGCAUAAUCANUAGUCUCUUAAUUAGAGGCUGGUAUGAAUGGUUGGACGAGGUACUUGCUGUUUCAUUUUAAUAUAUAGAAUUUUAUUUUUAAGUUAAAAAGCUUAAAUUAGUUUAAAAGACGAGAAGACCCUAUAGAUCUUUAUAAUUAUUUUAUUAUAGUUGUUAAGAAUACUAAAAUUAUUAUAAAUUAUAUUAUUUUGUUGGGGUGACAUUAAAAUUUAUUUAACUUUUAAUAUUUUUUUACUUUUAUUUAUGAAUUUAUUGAUCCUUUAUUAUAGAUUAAAAAAUUAAGUUACCUUAGGGAUAACAGCGUAAUUUUUUUGGAGAGUUCAUAUCGAUGNNNNNNNNUGCGACCUCGAUGUUGGAUUAA